GACGAACGCUGGCGGCGUGCCUAAUACAUGCAAGUUGAGCGCUGAAGGUUGGUACUUGUACCAAUUGGAUGAGCAGCGAACGGGUGAGUAACGCGUGGGGAAUCUGCCUUUGAGCGGGGGACAACAUUUGGAAACGAAUGCUAAUACCGCAUAAAAACUUUAAACACAAGUUUUAAGUUUGAAAGAUGCAAUUGCAUCACUCAAAGAUGAUCCCGCGUUGUAUUAGCUAGUUGGUGAGGUAAAGGCUCACCAAGGCGAUGAUACAUAGCCGACCUGAGAGGGUGAUCGGCCACAUUGGGACUGAGACACGGCCCAAACUCCUACGGGAGGCAGCAGUAGGGAAUCUUCGGCAAUGGACGAAAGUCUGACCGAGCAACGCCGCGUGAGUGAAGAAGGUUUUCGGAUCGUAAAACUCUGUUGGUGGAGAAGAACGUUGGUGAGAGUGGAAAGCUCAUCAAGUGACGGUAACUACCCAGAAAGGGACGGCUAACUACGUG
Molecule: ribosomal RNA, 497 nt
Filed under: uncultured bacterium
Lineage: Bacteria
Description: partial 16S ribosomal RNA
Rfam family: Bacterial small subunit ribosomal RNA
Source: RNAcentral